GCUUUUUCUUUCACCGGAGCUUGCUCCACCGAAAGAAAAGGAGUGGCGAACGGGUGAGUAACACGUGGGUAACCUGCCCAUCAGAAGGGGAUAACACUUGGAAACAGGUGCUAAUACCGUAUAACAAUAGAAACCGCAUGGUUUCUAUUUGAAAGGCGCUUUUGCGUCACUGAUGGAUGGACCCGCGGUGCAUUAGCUAGUUGGUGAGGUAACGGCUCACCAAGGCAACGAUGCAUAGCCGACCUGAGAGGGUGAUCGGCCACAUUGGGACUGAGACACGGCCCAAACUCCUACGGGAGGCAGCAGUAGGGAAUCUUCGGCAAUGGACGAAAGUCUGACCGAGCAACGCCGCGUGAGUGAAGAAGGUUUUCGGAUCGUAAAACUCUGUUGUUAGAGAAGAACAAGGAUGAGAGUAAAAUGUUCAUCCCUUGACGGUAUCUAACCA
RNAcentral lists this ribosomal RNA (445 nucleotides) under Enterococcus gilvus. RNAcentral's name for it is "bacterial SSU rRNA". It matches the Rfam family "Bacterial small subunit ribosomal RNA", at positions 68 to 485 of the family's 1533-position model. Lineage: Bacteria; Bacillati; Bacillota; Bacilli; Lactobacillales; Enterococcaceae. The record is from RNAcentral.